RNAcentral lists this ribosomal RNA (337 nucleotides) under uncultured bacterium. RNAcentral's name for it is "bacterial SSU rRNA". It matches the Rfam family "Bacterial small subunit ribosomal RNA", at positions 30 to 377 of the family's 1533-position model. The record is from RNAcentral.
UCUGAACGCUGGCGGCGUGGCUAAGACAUGCAAGUCGUACGGUGUAGCAAUACACAGUGGCGGACGGGUGAGUAAAGUAUCGCUAAUGUACCCCGAUGUCUGGGAUAGCCAGUCGAAAGAUUGGGUAAUACCGGAUAAGACCACAGAACCGCAUGGUUCGGUGCUCAAAGGGUCACCGCAUUGGGCGCAGGCGAUAUCGUAUCAGCUAGUUGGUGAGGAACGGCUCACCAAGGCGACGACGCGUAGCCGGGCUGAGAGGUCGGCCGGCCACAUUGGGACUGAGACACUGCCCAGACUCCUACGGGGGGCUGCAGUAACGAAUCUUCCGCAAUGCACG